GAGAGGCAUACCAGGGGAACUGAAACAUCUAAGUACCCUGAGGAAAAGAAAACAAUCAGUGAUUCCGUAAGUAGCGGCGAGCGAACGCGGAGAAGCCCAAACCAGAAGGUUCGCCUUCUGGGGUUGUAGGGCGUCUCACAUGGAGUUACAAAAGACG
This 157-nucleotide ribosomal RNA is filed under the name Aneurinibacillus migulanus. Its description in RNAcentral is "partial 23S ribosomal RNA". It matches the Rfam family "Bacterial large subunit ribosomal RNA", at positions 174 to 335 of the family's 2925-position model. The record is from RNAcentral. Lineage: Bacteria; Bacillati; Bacillota; Bacilli; Caryophanales; Paenibacillaceae.